CUCGCCUGCAUGAAGACGGAAUUGCUAGUAAUCGCGAAUCAGCAUGUCGCGGUGAAUACGUUCCCGGGCCUUGUACACACCGCCCGUCAAACCAUGAGAGUUGGGAAUACCCGAAGUCUGUAAUCUAACCGCAAGGAGGAUGCAGCCGAAGGUAGGCUCAAUGAUUGGGGUUAAGUCGUAACAAGGUAAC
RNAcentral lists this ribosomal RNA (190 nucleotides) under uncultured bacterium. Its description in RNAcentral is "partial 16S ribosomal RNA". It matches the Rfam family "Bacterial small subunit ribosomal RNA", at positions 1311 to 1500 of the family's 1533-position model. The record is from RNAcentral.